CAAAGGUAGCAUAAUCACUUGCCUAUUAAUUGUAGGCUAGAAUGAAAGGGUUAACGAAAUAAAGACUGUCUCAAUUAGCCACCUAAAAAUUAUUCUCUAUCCGAAGAAAGAUAGAUACUCUCGAAGGACAAGAAGACCCUAUAGAGCUUCAUUUUACUUAUAGAAUGCACUAUAAAAAUAUUCGGUUGGGGCGACCCUGGGCUAAAUAAUCACCCACUACAUAAAAGAUAUAUAAAUCUAGUAAAUGACCCUAUAAAGAUCACAAGAACAAGCUACCUUAGGGAUAACAGGCUAAUCCCAUUCAAGAGUCCUUAUCAACAAUGGGGUUUGGCACCUCGAUGUUGGCUUAGGGUAUCUAUAUAGCGCAAAAGUU
Molecule: ribosomal RNA, 373 nt
Filed under: Pheretima timpoongensis
Lineage: Eukaryota; Metazoa; Annelida; Clitellata; Crassiclitellata; Megascolecidae
Description: partial 16S rRNA
Rfam family: Bacterial large subunit ribosomal RNA
Source: RNAcentral